RNAcentral lists this long non-coding RNA (5349 nucleotides) under Triticum aestivum (bread wheat). Its description in RNAcentral is "long non-coding RNA (TAES_LNC027870)". Lineage: Eukaryota; Viridiplantae; Streptophyta; Magnoliopsida; Poales; Poaceae. The record is from RNAcentral.
UCACGUCCUCCUCGUUCCAUCCACUCCCUCGCCUCCUUCUUCCUCCCCAUCCGGCGGCGCCUCCUUCCUCUUUCCCACGGCCUCCCGCAUCGUGCUGAGCCUCGCCGGCCGCUUCCCCCAGCCGGUGUCCCUCUCCAGAUGCAUCCUCCCCGAGAUUCGGGUACGGAGAGAGUCACGGUGGCAGGGGCAGAUGCGUGAGGACGAGGAGGCCAUGGUCAUGGUGGCGCGACGGAGGUCGUGGCUCGCCCCCCGCCGCCUCUCUCGUGCCCCCCUUUUCCCUACCCCCUCCCCGGCGUCCUUGCCUCUGCCAUGGCCUCCGCCCGAUUCCAGAUCGGCCGCAGGUCGAGGAGCGGUUGCUGUAGUGAGGGCAGCAGCGUGCAGAGGGGGAGAGGUCAAGGACGGUUGCCAGUUCAUGGAGGAGAGAUGCAACACAACGGUGAGCUCUUUCUUCCUCCUUUCCUCAUCUUCCCAUGGUGAACUGAGCUCAUACUUCCUUUUCUUUCUUCUAAUUAUGCACAUAGUGUUUGGGUUGCAGUUGAUUCCUACGCUGAGUUUUAGUGGUGGCAUGGUGUCCAUCUCCAGGCCGGUUGCAACCUUCUGCCCCCAUCAUUCCCUGUAUUUUUUUCAUAAUUUACACACUAAGUUGUAGAUUGGUCGGAUCUAUUGGCAUUAGGCAGCACAAGAAUAACAAUAGUUGUCAGCUUUUUCAUGUGCAGGUUCAGCAGCGGCAAUCCUCGAGAUAGAUUUAGGCCGAUCUGAAUAAACAGAGAUGAGCAGCAGCAGGGUUGGGUGCUCCAUUUGUAUGCGUUGCAUUGGUUAAUUUUGUUGUGCUCAUGUUUCUGUUUCAUGCUAUUGUCCACGAGUUCUACUUGUUGCUUAUUUCCAAUUAAGUACUUAGUUCCAUAAUGCUCUGGCCAACCUAUUUUAUUGCAACAUUUGUGGUUCUUUUGUGCCAGAUUAGGUGUUUGUAUUUUUUUCCGAGUUCUUAUGGCAUACUUUCUUAAGAUUUUUAUUUGUGACACUUGCAGAAGUGCGGUUCAACAUUAGUUAGUAAUGCCCAGUAAGUUACUAAGGUGUUAUGUAACUGCAAUCCUUGAAAGCAGAGAUGAGAUAUCUAUCCAAUUCUACAUAUAUGGUUUAAAGUUCAUUGCGACAACCUUGCUCAUAUGUUUCGAUUACUACAGAGCAAGGUUGGUUUAAAGUUCAUUCUAAAAUUCUUCUCUUUGUUGUAUCAUUUCUACAUAUAUCCUUUAAAGUUAGAGAAAUUUAGAUGUGAAAUGCCCAGAGUAUUAUGUCACACUUUUAUCAGAUUGCCAAGUUGGUAGCCGCUUUUGCGAUUAUAAAUGUUUUUUUUCAGAGCGGCUGCUACUUCAGUGCCCAACUUUGAAGAAUGUACAUGCAUUUGGAUGCCAAGAUAUGUCGAUUGGUGCAAUUAGAACCCCAGGUAUUACUUUGUUAACACAUUUCUCAUCCCAAAUAUUUUUUUCAGUUUGAGCUUUCUCCCAUAACUCGUACGGAUUGAUGAGAGGUUUGAUACAAAUAUCCAUAUAAUUAUGCUUUCUUCUAUACGCUAUGCAGGUGGCUAUGUUGUUGAUGGGGAUUAAUUAUUGUACUACCCGCAAGAAAAUAUUGUACUGACAUAUCUGAGAAUUUUAAUGAUCUAUCUGCAACCAGGUAGCUAUGCUCACAUCAAAUUAUUAUUUUUAUGUGCUUCAACUCAUUUAACUGCAUGUUAAUUUGCUCAUAAACUUCCUGAUGCAGCUACAAAUUUCUUUGUAAAACUUAUUGAUUAUUCUGAAAUCUUAUUCCUAGGUAUUAAGCUCCAGGCUGAGUGCAGGUUUCUUUUUGCAAAAAACAAAACACGUAAUGCUACAGCCUCAGCAGCGUAUUGUCCAUUCAAAUAUCUGGAAUUGGCAUGCAUAUGUUGCUUGUUUUUUCAUACAUUUUUAGUUUUUGUGUCUCUUUGGUAUGAAUUAGCAGAAUAUUUUUUCAUGGUGUGAAGUAUUAGCGACAUUUACUAUUUUGGAUGUUGAGAUGCCAGCUUGGCUUCCCUUUUUUGUUUUAGAGAUGAGUUUGGCUUCUCUUUUAGGAUGCAUUACGGUACUACAUGAUUGUUGAGUUCCUAUUGUUUGCUUUUCUCUGUUCGUCAAUUUUUUUGAUUGCUUCUGGAGAAACCAUAUUACUACGCAGUUGCUGCCAUUGUAAGAGAUGUCAUUCUUUUUAGGUGGUAAGGUGAUAUGGUCAGUUUAUGUUAUAGGGUGUGAUGUGAAGCUCAUGCUGGUUCAUUACAAGAGGUUAUGUACCACUCAUGUCUUAUUUUCUGCAGGUACCUGCCAUUCUCUGAUCCAUAUUCUAGAUGCUUCCAUUGCUACAACAUUCUCAAGCUAUAUUGCAAAGUUUGUUGCUUAUAUAGUUAUUACUAUUGGUCUAUAUGGUGUCGGCUGGAUGUGUGCCACCUGAAAGAUCUCAUUGUUUGUAACCAGGCAAUACAAACAUUCCAUUACUACCAGACAUGUCUUUCUUUGGUAAAUUUCAUUCUUUUUUUGCUGCAUUGUACCUUCCAUAGGUUUGUUUCCAGUGGUCCUAUACCUUUCAUUUUUUUUCGAUCUCUGUUCUUACAUUUAUAUUCUAUUCAUCUCCGGUUCUGAUAUGUCAUAGGGUUGAUUGAGUAUUGUUUCCUUUAUGUUGGAACAAUGGUCCAGGGUAGUGUCUACAAGGGGGUGCUCUGUGCUCUUGGCGUUAUCUGUUAGCCUUUUCUGUAUAUAGUCUUCUAGUUAUGUUCUUUAGAAUAUCAUCCAAAUCAUGACUGCUAUGACCCAAACUAUAAGAGCUAAAAAAACUGCUGCUCGAUGCGAUUUUAGAUUUAUUUGAACAAAAGACUACUAGGUGAUCUUCCAGAUGUAUUUGGCAAGUAGCGGCUCUGAAAUUGCUGGCUAUAGCAUCGCAUAUCUUUUUUCUUGAUUGUCACAACAACAAUUUUUCAUGUAUCUGAAUGGUGAUCUCGCCAUUCACCAAGGAGGGAUAAAAGUUUGGUAUCCACUGGCAUUUUUUUUGUUCAUCAAUCUUGCCGAGAUAUCAAACAUGUGCUUACUUGAUUACGAGGAUGACUUUCUUAUGUGCUUGAUAGAUAGAAUGCCUUAAUAGAUAGCAUGCCUCUGAUUUUCUUAUUUGAGCAUGUUUUUAUACAGAGAAUUUGAUUUGCUUGUUUUCCACUUCUUUAGGAAUAUGAGGAGGGAGCUCUGUUGUUGUCAGUGGCUACAUCAUUUCGACCAGUGAUAUGGUUAAUCUUUGCGAUGUGGACCAAUGGCAUGAUCUGUACCUAAGGUUGGAGUUGCUGAAUUAGGUAAGAAAAAAAAUGAGAACCAUUUGCUUGUUUUUCACUUCUUUAGGGAUAUGAGGAGAGAGUCUUACAGCUCUAUUGUUAAUCAGCUACUUCCUUUUGUGGAUGAUUAAUUAUUUGCAUGAAGGUUCAGAGAAUGGCCUCUAUUGCCUUACAGUCCAACUGGUAAAUAGAACAGUGCCUUACAUGAGCACUGAUGGUGAUCUUAUAUACUUAUACGUAUAUGUUUCUGUAUUGCAGAACACGUGAGAAAUUACUGAUGCGCAUGGAUGACAGCUUUCCCACGACGAAGCAAAAUUGCAGGUGAUUUUCUCUACUUUCUAAUAUUAUCCAUAUAUCACAGGGGAAUGAUGGGUAGUUUUAAAAGGGAUUAGUGGUUCAUCGCACUUUUUCUAGCUUCUUUUGGCCUCCAAAUGAUAUACAAGGCAGUCAAGUUCCAUCCUCUAAUUUCUUGUGAUUUUUAUAGGACCUAUUAGGAUGCAUACCUGAAGGAGUGCAUCUACUGGCCCAGCUGAAAAUCGAUCUCUAUUUGGUUUAUGUAUUCUAUUUUUGCUCUCGGUUUUGUCUACCGCUCGUCCUUGGUAUGCUCAUCCAUCUUGCCUGCUUUGCUUGCCUCCUUCUCCUCUCCAAUUCAGGUAGAUGGAUUGUUCUUUUAUUUUUCUGUGGAACGACUCUUAUUUUACUUGUCUGUGCUCUGUAUCAUAGCAUGCUGGUGCACUGACCACUUCAUCUCCAUUUAUUGAGCAGGUUCUGCGAUCCCUUGUGUUGCUGCGUCCCGAUCUCCAGCUUUGUUGCAUCUCUGUUCUGCUCCUCGAGGUUUGCUUGUUUUCUGUCUAGCUAAAAUGCAUAUUUCCUUCCUGCACGUGUUGUCAUGGUGUUUAAAUUGGAUUUGGUGGUGGAAGGGGGGGGGGGUCUGGAACUAAAACGAAAUUUAGUUUGAUGUUAUCAUAUAUCCCGGGUCGUGUGUAUGUAUCUCGUUGGAUAAAGGAAGAUUGAGUGAAUGUAGGUGUAGCUUCAUGAGCGCCGGUCAAGGUUCUUAGCGAGUUCUUUGUAGGCAUAAUUUUCUUCUAUUCAACAAUGCAUUUUAAAUAGUGAAACUGGUCCUAAUUAUUCCAUGCUGGAGUUAAAAUUGUGCAUCUUGUUAUGUAUUUUGGGAAGAGCAGCAGUUCAUAAUUUUCUCUAUAAUAUUCAUGUCAUUCAGUCAAGAUAGUGUGCUGUUUAUUUUUCUUUCUUCAGGUAGGAAACACAUGUUGAUUUCUUGACCACCUCAAGUGAUCCAGUGAUCCAAUGUUAGAUGAAGUGUUUUAAUAUUUUUUGCUCAUGCUUAUUCCCGGAAACACAGCUCAAUGGAAUAAGCUCUGUAACUUUUAUUUAGCAUAUCACACAUACAAGUAUACUGAUAUUAUAUUAGGACUUAAUGACGGAUAACAUAACACUUAUUUUUAACUGCAUACAUAGCAUGGUCUUGUCAUAUCUUCUUAUGGUGUAUCUAUUAUUCAUGUACAUACUCUGUGUGGUAUUCACAUGGUUGUGUCGCCAUUGACAUCCUUGUUGUAGGUGCUCAACAGGAGAAGCACUCAAUAGGAGAAGCAGGAGCAGCGGAGCGUUCGCCUCGUUGCAGGUCGACUUCUGGUCCCUUCUCUUCUUACUGAUUUAUUCCUCCCCUUCUCUUCCAGUCCCCUACUCACAGAGCUUCUCAUUUUAUUUUUGUAGAUUUGGUUUAUCUAUGUCUGCAGGUUGUUUGAUAAAAAUCCAAAAAGGCUGACAUGGUAGAAUUAAUCUAUGUAAAUCGUGUGAUUUUAUUUUUCUAUAAUUUAGUUCCAGUCAAAGAUAACAAGUUAGUAGUCCCAUUAUUUUUUUGCAAUUUAGGUACUGAAGGAGAUCAGAAUGCUUUUAUUUCUAUUUACAUCAUGGGCUUUAUUAUAGAACAACCACAGUGGAGAAAAUUAUCUCAUAUUUAUUAAUAUCUUUUAUUGUUUGUGUUUAGUGAAUAAAAACUGCAGUAGAUU